GCGCGAGGCGACGGGCGUUCUCGCCGGAUGUAGGGAACCGACCCGGGGACCGCCGGGGCAACCCGGCGCCCCCGAGACGGGGCGAACCACGGUGAAAUGACGGAUCGUCGGCCCCGCGCCGGCGACUCGCCGAAUGAGUUUCUGACCUAUCAACUCGAGACGGCGGGGUAGAGGCCCGCCGCGGUAACGACGGUAACGGGGAAUCAGGGUUCGAUUCCGGAGAGGGAGCCCGAGAAACGGCUACCACUUCCAAGGAAGGCAGCAGGCGCGCAACUUACCCUAAUCUCGAUUCGAGGAGGUAGUGACAAGAAAUACCGAUGCGGGACCCUACGGGUGCCGCGUUCGGAAUGAGUACGAUUCGAACCACCUAACGAGGAACGAUCGGAGGGGCAAGUCUGGUGCCAGCAGCCGCGGUAAUUCCAGCUCCAAUAGCGUACG
Molecule: ribosomal RNA, 438 nt
Filed under: uncultured eukaryote
Lineage: Eukaryota
Description: bacterial SSU rRNA
Rfam family: Eukaryotic small subunit ribosomal RNA
Source: RNAcentral